CGGACGGGUGAGUAAUACUUAGGAAUCUGCCCAUUAGUGGGGGACAACUCGAGGAAACUCGAGCUAAUACCGCAUACGCCCUACGGGGGAAAGCGGAGGACCUUUCGGGGCUUCGCGCUAAUGGAUGAGCCUAAGUCGGAUUAGCUUGUUGGUGAGGCAAAGGCUCACCAAGGCGACGAUCCGUAGCUGGUCUGAGAGGACGAUCAGCCACACUGGGACUGAGACACGGCCCAG
This 234-nucleotide ribosomal RNA is filed under the name uncultured bacterium. Its description in RNAcentral is "partial 16S ribosomal RNA". It matches the Rfam family "Bacterial small subunit ribosomal RNA", at positions 99 to 334 of the family's 1533-position model. The record is from RNAcentral.